UUGACACAUACGAGGGCGAUAAGCCUCUUCCGGUUCACCUCCGACGGGGGAGCUCCUAUUACUUUGAACGUGCACCCCCAAAAGGGCUAAAUUCAAGAUUUCAGAGGUCCCAAUCCCAUCGUAUGGAGCCACCUAUCGAGUACCGCUUUGAACAGAAGGUCCCCCUGGCCCCUCCUGUUCCUUUCCCAAGACCGCCUAAAAGCUUACUGGGAAAGCCACUGCCUUAUUGUCUCAGAGUCUAUAACUAUCGUCCCUAGGAUCGCUAAACGCGAGCCGUCGGGUAAGCUUUUUUCCCGAAUCCUUAUCCGGUUCGGGCCUUAACUGAGGUUCAGUGGUUAUUAUACGAGUUACCGCUUGCAGAGGUUUUCCCAGUAUUUUAGUCUUACACGUAUAAGAAUACUGAACUGGUUCGGGCACACAAGUAAACAAAAGCAUAUGUGAGUUAACACUCUGGAAGGGAAGUUACUCCAGGGUUGGAGUAACGACCUAUCUCACAGGAUACUUUUCCACAAGAAUACAAGCCAGCCCACAUAAGUCUACAUAUGCCUAACAGAGCGAAUUGCUUCGCGAAGGGACCGGAGAGCGCUGCGGUAUGUUUGGGCUGCAGCAGCGCUCGGAGCCCUGAGACAGGCUAGUAGCUACUUCCAACUUUAAAACCUGAGCUACUGAGCUACUGAGCUAAUGAGCUACGAGCUAAGGAGCUACUGAGCUAAUGAGCUAACCUCCCCGAGGGAGGAAGAGCGCAGCUCGGAGGGGAAAGCGUUCAGCUCUUACGCGCGCGCGCGGAAGCCAACUCUUGUUUGCACGGUACUUGCGUUUUGCGACCCGACUAUUUCCUCCGAGGAAAUAGAAUAAGGGAAGACCACUUUUGAGCCCAACCUCCCCCGAGGGGAGACGAGCAAAGCUCGGAGGGGGCAAC
This 919-nucleotide long non-coding RNA is filed under the name Panax ginseng (ginseng). RNAcentral's name for it is "long non-coding RNA (PGIN_LNC001707)". Lineage: Eukaryota; Viridiplantae; Streptophyta; Magnoliopsida; Apiales; Araliaceae. The record is from RNAcentral.